Molecule: ribosomal RNA, 501 nt
Filed under: uncultured bacterium
Lineage: Bacteria
Description: partial 16S ribosomal RNA
Rfam family: Bacterial small subunit ribosomal RNA
Source: RNAcentral
AUUGAACGCUGGCGGCAGGCUUAACACAUGCAAGUCGAGCGGGGGAAGGUAGCUUGCUACCGGACCUAGCGGCGGACGGGUGAGUAAUGCUUAGGAAUCUGCCUAUUAGUGGGGGACAACAUCUCGAAAGGGAUGCUAAUACCGCAUACGUCCUACGGGAGAAAGCAGGGGAUCUUCGGACCUUGCGCUAAUAGAUGAGCCUAAGUCGGAUUAGCUAGUGGGUGGGGUAAAGGCCUACCAAGGCGACGAUCUGUAGCGGGUCUGAGAGGAUGAGCCGGCACACUGGGAAUGAGACACGGCCCAGACUCCUACGAGAGGCAGCAGUGGGUAAUAUUGGACAAUGGGGGGAACCCGGAUCCAGCCAUGCCGCGUGUGUGAAGAAGGCCUUAUGGUUGUAAAGCACUUUAAGCGAGGAGGAGGCUACUUUAGUUAAGACCUAGAGAUAGUGGACGUUACUCGCAGAAUAAGCACCGGCUAACUCUGUGCCAGCCGCCGCGGUAA